This 449-nucleotide ribosomal RNA is filed under the name uncultured bacterium. Its description in RNAcentral is "bacterial SSU rRNA". It matches the Rfam family "Bacterial small subunit ribosomal RNA", at positions 30 to 524 of the family's 1533-position model. The record is from RNAcentral.
AUUGAACGCUAGCGGCAGGCUUAACACAUGCAAGUCGAACGAUGUAGCAAUACAUAGUGGCGCACGGGUGAGUAACGCGUGGGAAUGUACCAUUUGGUGGGGAAUAACUUUGGGAAACUAAAGCUAAUACCGCAUACGCCCGAGAGGGGAAAGAUUUAUCGCCAAAUGAUCAGCCCGCGUGAGAUUAGGUAGUUGGUGGGGUAAUGGCCUACCAAGCCUACGAUCUCUAGCUGGUCUGAGAGGAUGAUCAGCCACACUGGAACUGAGACACGGUCCAGACUCCUACGGGAGGCAGCAGUGGGGAAUAUUGGGCAAUGGAGGAAACUCUGACCCAGCCAUGCCGCGUGAAUGAUGAAGGCCUUAGGGUUGUAAAGUUCUUUCGCCGAUGAAGAUAAUGACGGUAGUCGGAGAAGAAGCCCGGCUAGCUUCGUGCCAGCAGCCGCGGUAAU